AGUCGUAACAAGGUAUCCGUAGGUGAACCUGCGGAUGGAUCAUUAACAAAGGUGUUUUUGAAGUUGUGUGAACAGUUGGAGGAGGUGGUGGUGGUGGUGGUAUUGGGUGGUACUGGGUGGUAUUGGGUGGUAUUGGGUGGUAUUGGGUGGUAUUGAGUGGUGUAACCUUGGUCAACCUCACUCAACCUCACUCAACCUCACUCUCCCAACCUCACUCUCCCAACCUCCACCACUCCGUCCCUAUAAUGUAUACAAACUGAUGUCUGCUAGUUUCAAACUAAAACAACUUUUAGCAACGGAUCUCUUGGCUCUC
RNAcentral lists this unclassified non-coding RNA (313 nucleotides) under fungal sp. RNAcentral's name for it is "partial internal transcribed spacer region". The stretch from base 1 to 45 matches the Rfam family "Eukaryotic small subunit ribosomal RNA", at positions 1787 to 1831 of the family's 1831-position model. Lineage: Eukaryota; Fungi. The record is from RNAcentral.